This is a long non-coding RNA of Astatotilapia calliptera (eastern happy), 3722 nucleotides long. The record is from Ensembl. Lineage: Eukaryota; Metazoa; Chordata; Actinopteri; Cichliformes; Cichlidae.
UAAAUGUGAGAAAAUAAACUGAAUGUUAAAAAAUCAGUUUCACCAUCAUUUUUUGGUCUUUAUAAAAAUAUGUGACAGCUUCAUGCCCAAAUUAGACUUAUUAGAUAUUUUAGGGAAAUGUGCAUUUAGAAUGAAAACUAAGUAAUAAAAAAAAAAAGCUGGAAAUAGGAGGUUCAAAUUAAUGUUACUUUAUUGACCGCGCGUUUAUACACACACAUAUAUAUACAUUAGACACAAAGUCUUUAUUGUAAAACUGGCACAAAAAUAAAAGUGCGGUGUGAUCAAUCUGACUUUUUAUUAAAAAAAUUAGUUCAAAUUUUUCUCUAUACUCUUGCCGAAUGACGAGCAUCAAAUACAGCAGUGGACAGCAAACAAAACACAAGGCUCUCAAUAAACAAUAUAUAUUUAAAAGCUUUAAAUACAUUUCUUUAUUCAACCCCAGAUGCUUGUUGGCAAUAAAGUACAUCUUAAGAGACAAUGAAAUAACAUUUUUUUUUUGGUGUUUUUAAAAUAUCAAUGUUAACCCAUAUUACAACAAAAUCUUUGUUUCUGAGGUUUUGUUAUACACCAGAAAAACAACAGAUGAACAGGCCUGGUCUUUGAGCCAAACGCAAGCAGAUUUUUCUCCUGCGCCGUCAAUCUGCAAGAGGAGAUGAAGACAGAGGAAAUGAGAAAUUAGAGAUAAAAAACUGGGUGUGGAAUAAAAAGACAGAGUGAAAUUGUCAUAUUUUUCUUCACAGGCAGGGUUGAAGCAGAUUUGGACUACAUUAACAAAAAAAAGGGGCGGGGUAUGACGAGGGGGAGACUCCCUCCUCAUGACUACUAAUAUCUGUCUGUGUUCUAGUCUGCACUCCUUCACCUUUGACCUCCAACGUCUGGAGCGUCAAAAGGGCACAGAGUCAACAGGGAACUCUGCAAUUAUGCUAAACACACACACACACACACACACACACACACACACACACACACACACGCGUUUGGUUUUGCACUGUCAUGUCUGAACAUAAAAAAAACCAACAAGCAGAGGAACGAGAAUUAAUCUGAACGUGUCCAAACUUUUAAUCGUUACCAUAAAUUCAAAUGGGAAACCCACCACCUUCACAAAGUUAAAAUUUUCAACAAAAACCUUCUGCAAAAUCAAAAAUCGCUUAAGAUUUGAUAGAUUUGAAAUGCUAGUGUCUUGGUUCAGUACAGAUGGGGCGGCAGAAAAAUCAAGGUGUGCGUGGGCUGUGAAGAGGAGGAGGAAGAGGCUAGUUAUGACUGAAGCGAUCAGAGCUAGACUGCAGUCCCUGGGUAGAUCCAGGGCUUCAGACACUGGGCAAUUGAGGGGGCCUUCCUGAGCCUGUAGGGCUCUCCAGGGCUCUUCUCCUGCCUACGCUGUCCCAACAACCAGAUAAUGUAUGCAGAGGGGAGCCUACAGUCCUGUCUCCAAUAACCACACACACACAGACACACACACAGAAGAAUAUAACUGCAUUCCUGCCAAAGACAUCAGAGCUGGAGCGACCAGAGAAAGCUAUCAGGCUGACUUUUAUUUGAUUAAAAUGCAACUCUGAUCUUUUUUAUAAUUAGCAAUUGGUAAAAAUUGUGGAACGAAGGAUGGGGGCUUAAUGCAUUACUGCAAUCCUUAAAAUGAUUCAGCAACUUUAUGCUUGGAUCCAAAAAUAUAAAUAUGAGGCAUAGAAAGAUGGACAGGCACAGGAAGUGAUGGACUUUUUCCAGCUGAGAGGCAUGCUAACAUAAUAUUCUAGCUUGUCUUUGUUUCUCCUACCUCUGUCCUUUGUACAGUCUUGUAAUCCACAAAAACUACAAAGGGUUUCAUGUAUUUGUGAGGAAGUAACUCUAGAUCUUAGAAAAUAAUAUUACAUUGCAUAUGUUCAUGGUAUAUUGCUAAGUCACACUGACUCUAUCAGAAAAACCAGUCCAUUUAGGAAGUAAUUGGGAAUUGACCUCAAACCUUGAGAAUAGGCUGUUGUUUAGGUCAAUACGCGAGACACCUAACGAUGUGCGAUGAAUGCGGCUGAUUGCAGAGGGGAAGAGUUUUAACUCUCGUGUCUUAUGUUUAUCAAAGUUUAUUUUAAUCAAUCGGAGAAUUCAGUCGACACCGCUGUGAAAACUUCAAAAGAAGAGCGUCUUCGAGUAGCAAGCGUGCAAACCUCAUAUCAGCAAAAGCAUGUAACGCUGAUUUAUCGCGUUUGACAAAAUGUUCAGCUCUGGCGUCACGAGAGCUUGCCUUUGAGAACAUCUGAGGCUUAACUUGGUCAAAAACACUAAAUGCCAGCUCUGACAUUCAACUUCUCCAACCUCUCCUAUGUGCAGGACACACUUUUCCCCAAAUUCUUCCUAUUUUCCCAAGAACAAGGUCACCCUUUAAAGGAUGUUCUCAUGGAAAAGAGUUAAAUCUUCUUCCAUAGAGACGGAGUGAAUGUGUGUGUUUGUGUGUGUGUGUCAGAGUGGAUAAAGUAAGAGAGGCAUAAAUAGAGAAAAAGCCUGCAUUUGGAUGAGGAGGGUGUAUGUAUGGGUAGGUGUAAAGUGGACUCUCUCCCUCUAGUUCCCUGCUUUCUAUAUUCAACCCCACCUUCCCCGACACACACACACACACACCCUAAUGCUGACAUUGUGUCCGUCCAACAAAGACGUCCCUGCAGCCCCCUCAUUAUAAAUACAUGUCAUUGGAUCACAGCUCGUCUGAAUCCCCGAGUCUGCUGCGCUCUAAGUGGCCGUGACUGAGCCCUGAAUGGGUGGCCGAGUGACAGCUAACCCAAUAGAGCCAGCGGUGUGAGUGAGUGUGCGAGUAGCCUCAGCCUAUGGGAAUGAAAGCAUCGCAGCAGGACGAGGUCAGAGGUCAGGGGCUGUCUGUUACGUGUGAGGAUGCGAAUAUACACACAUGAAGUUUUCAGAGUGUCGGGCAUGCUGCUUAUAAUUAAGAAUUGGUGGCAAAAAAAGGGGGACAUGAAUCUGUGACGAGGACAGUUUUGAGAUGAAUUCAUGAAAAGUGCGUUAACGGUUAGCUGCUGCAUGCAUGCAGGAGGUUUGCUUUAAAUCUAGGGCAAUAAGUUUCCUGCUGCCUCAACAACAAAGCUGCAGAAAUCUCGUCCUGGUUCACUUAGAAGCAGAGAACAAGGUGUGUGGGUUUGCAUGCGUACUUGCGUGUGUGCGUGUGUGUUUGAAGGGCUCAUCCUAUCGCAUUUUGCAGGGAAAUGCAAAAGUGUCUCUAUCCCUCUGGAACCACAAACCAGGACAAGUACAGUGUCGUACUCUCAUUCCUCCUCCCUCUCUUCUAUUUCUGAGUAAAAGCUUGCAUUUCUCCCCAGGUAUAACAAAGUUUCCCUCACUCUACUUUCACUUGCGUCUUGAACCACUAGAGAUAUGACCCUAAAGUCCACCACAAAUUAAUAUUUAAAGAGUAACUAAUCACCAGCAGGUAAGCUGAACAUGAACGCCAAGCCUUAAUCAUUGUUGCCUCAUUUCGCCGAGCCAAUGAAUGAUGUGAGCCCAGAGGUUAGUGUUUCAAAUUAAAAUGUGUGCUUUCUCUCAGUUUUCUUUCUUUAUAACACCUUUUUGAGAGUGAGCGUACAUAUGUCUGACAUCCCACCACCAUCCAGCACGUUGCAUAUAUACACACACAUAUAUAUAUACACACACACAUAUAUAUACAUAUACAUAUACACAUAUACAUAUACAUAUACAUACACAUAUACAUAUAUACAUAUACACAUAUA